This 733-nucleotide ribosomal RNA is filed under the name uncultured eukaryote. RNAcentral describes it as "SSU rRNA". It matches the Rfam family "Eukaryotic small subunit ribosomal RNA", at positions 557 to 1295 of the family's 1831-position model. The record is from RNAcentral.
UAGUCUGGUGCCAGCAGCCGCGGUAAUUCCAGCUCCAAUAGCGUAUAUUAAAGUUGUUGCAGUUAAAACGCUCGUAGUCGGAUUUCGGGGCAAGUUUGCCGGUCUGCCGAUGGGUAUGCACUGGUAGAAGUGUCCUUCCUUCCGGAGACGGCGCCUACUCUUAACUGAGCGGGUGUCGGAGACGGAUCGUUUACUUUGAAAAAAUCAGAGUGUUUCAAGCAGGCAGCUCGCUUUUGCAUGGAUUAGCAUGGGAUAAUGAAAUAGGACUUUGGUGCUAUUUUGUUGGUUUCGAACACCGAAGUAAUGAUUAACAGGGACAGUCAGGGGCACUCGUAUUCCGCCGAGAGAGGUGAAAUUCUUAGACCAGCGGAAGACGAACCACUGCGAAAGCAUUUGCCAGGGAUGUUUUCACUGAUCAAGAACGAAAGUUAGGGGAUCGAAGACGAUCAGAUACCGUCGUAGUCUUAACCAUAAACCAUGCCGACUAGGGAUUGGAGGAUGUUCCUAUGUGACUCCUUCAGCACCUUUCGGGAAACUAAAGUCUUUGGGUUCCGGGGGGAGUAUGGUCGCAAGGCUGAAACUUAAAGGAAUUGACGGAAGGGCACCACCAGGAGUGGAGCCUGCGGCUUAAUUUGACUCAACACGGGGAAACUUACCAGGUCCAGACAUUGUGAGGAUUGACAGAUUGAGAGCUCUUUCUUGAUUCGAUGGGUGGUGGUGCAUGGCCGUUCUU